AAAACAUGUCUCUUUGAGAUUUUUUAAUAAAGAGUUGGGCCUGCUCGGUGAUUAAUAUUUAACAGCUGCGGUAUUAUAACUGUACUAAGGUAGCAUAAUAAUUUGCUCUAUAAAUUGGGGCUAGAAUGAAUGGUUUGACGAAAAUUUGACUGUCUCUAUCUUAUUUAUUAGAAAUUAAUUUUUGUAGUGAGAAAGCUUAAAUUAUUUAAAGGGACGAAAAGACCCUAUUGAGCUUAUAUUAUUUAAUAAAUUAUAUGAUUGUUGUUUGUUUGAAUUAAUUUUGAUUGGGGUGAUCAAGGAAUAAAUUUUAUUUAAUUUAACUUCCUUAGUUAAUUGUUCUAUGGAAGAAUAAACCAAAGUUUUUGCUUAGAAGAUAAGUUACCAUAGGGAUAACAGCGUAAUUUUUUUUGAGAGUUCAUAUUGAAAAAAGAGAUUGCGACCUCGAUGUUGGAUUAAAAUUAACCUUAAGGUGAAGAGGCUUUAUUAGGUAAAUCUGUUCGAUUUUUAAAAUUUUACGUGAUC
This 522-nucleotide ribosomal RNA is filed under the name Octopus mimus. RNAcentral describes it as "partial 16S ribosomal RNA". It matches the Rfam family "Bacterial large subunit ribosomal RNA", at positions 1810 to 2605 of the family's 2925-position model. The record is from RNAcentral. Lineage: Eukaryota; Metazoa; Mollusca; Cephalopoda; Octopoda; Octopodidae.